UACGAGGGGGGCUAGCGUUGUUCGGAAUUACUGGGCGUAAAGCGCACGUAGGCGGACUACUAAGUCAGGGGUGAAAUCCCGGGGCUCAACCCCGGAACUGCCUUUGAUACUGGUAGUCUCGAGUCCGGAAGAGGUGAGUGGAAUUCCGAGUGUAGAGGUGAAAUUCGUAGAUAUUCGGAGGAACACCAGUGGCGAAGGCGGCUCACUGGUCCGGUACUGACGCUGAGGUGCGAAAGCGUGGGGAGCAAACAGG
Molecule: ribosomal RNA, 253 nt
Filed under: uncultured bacterium
Lineage: Bacteria
Description: partial 16S ribosomal RNA
Rfam family: Bacterial small subunit ribosomal RNA
Source: RNAcentral